UUUUUUCAUUUAGGGUUAUUUUGAAUAAUUUACAAAUGACAUGAAAAUGUAAUCAACAAAUAUUUUUUUCAGGAAUGAAAGGCAUCUGGAUUUCAACCUACAAAAUGAAAUUAAUGACAAAGGACAUGCAAGUGAGUUUGAAAAACAACAAUAACAAAAAAGGAGCCCAGAGGAAUUCUGUGGCACUCAUUGAAGCUGUUUGACUCUUUGAUUUUCCUGGAGCUGUUCAGAUCCCAGUAUAGGGUUUGUUGUUUUCUGGCCAUUCUUUUUCAGCUCUUCAGCAGCAAUGCAUUAUUCUGUAUCCAUGACUCCCAAUCUUUGCAAAUGUACUAAAUUAAAACCUAUGUGAAAUAUUCAUUGGAGGAGUGUGGAAAUCAGCCACAGAGGCAUUUUUAAAGAUCAGAAUGAAACCUUGUUAUCUCAAGAGAAAAGCUCAACAAUUGAAUAAAUAAUAAUAUUGGUCCUUUAGACCUAAGAGUAAGUGCAUUCCCUGCUCUGAUGGUGCAAAGGGGCCUUAAGAUUUGCUUAGCUCACACUCAUGAGCUGGAGAAUAGGAAGACAGGCAGGAAGAUGAUGCAUGGUCUGGACUCAACACUCUGUUUAUGGGACCUUCCUCCUUCCAGUAAACCAUGUGUGUCAGGUUUUGCAGAAGGAACCGAACUAACUUGAGACCAGAGCCUGCCAACCCUUACUUGUAGUGUUUUCCACUUACCUGCCUACAUUGGGCCAAGGACACGCCUGAAGUCAGAUGUGCAUACUUGCUGCCUCAUGGAAAGCAAGUGAGUUUUAAUUUUCAGGUGGCUUUGUCUUUAUGGGGUAGGCUGGAUAGCAGGCUUCUUUAACAGGCCUGCUGUGACAAGUUCAGGAG
RNAcentral lists this long non-coding RNA (868 nucleotides) under Chrysemys picta bellii (western painted turtle). RNAcentral's name for it is "lncRNA (ENSCPBG00000006844.1)". The record is from RNAcentral. Lineage: Eukaryota; Metazoa; Chordata; Testudines; Emydidae.